AUGGUUGAUCACCUCAAACGCCUCUGCAUUGACCACUAUUUCCAGGAUGAAAUCGAUAACAUAAUGGACUCGUCUGUGGAUCUCCUCCAUAGUGAUGAUCUACUUGACGCAACCCUUUCCUUAAGGCUGAUGAGAGAAGUUGGAUAUUAUGUUUCGGCAGACGAUGUUCUUCAGAAGUUCACAAACGCUAAUGGUGAUUUCAACCUUAGGCAUAGCAAAGACCUUAGAGGGUUGCUGAGCUUGCAUGACAUGUCACACCUCAACAUGGGAGAAGCUUCACUCUACAAGGCAAAUGAAUUCUCAAGCAAGCACCUAAAAUUUGCACUUAAGUGUUUGGAGCCAAACCUUGCGAGAUAUGUGAUGAAGUCACUAGACCAUCCCUACCAUGUGAGCCUGAGGCAAUACAAGGCUAGGCAUCAUUUGAGUUACCUCCAGAACUUGCCUACUAGGCACACUGCAAUUGAGAAGCUGGCACUUGCAGAAUUUCAGAUGAAGAAGUUGCAACAUCAGAGUGAAAUGCAAGAGAUUAAGAGAUGGUGGGUGGAUUUGGGAUUGUCUCAAGAAAUUCCUGCUGCAAGGGACCAAGUUCUGAAAUGGUACAUGUGGUCCAUGACUAUCCUCGAGGGUUUCUCCUUCUCAAGAUAU
RNAcentral lists this ribosomal RNA (645 nucleotides) under Triticum aestivum (bread wheat). Its description in RNAcentral is "partial small subunit ribosomal RNA". The record is from RNAcentral. Lineage: Eukaryota; Viridiplantae; Streptophyta; Magnoliopsida; Poales; Poaceae.